This 515-nucleotide ribosomal RNA is filed under the name uncultured bacterium. RNAcentral describes it as "partial 16S ribosomal RNA". It matches the Rfam family "Bacterial small subunit ribosomal RNA", at positions 28 to 523 of the family's 1533-position model. The record is from RNAcentral.
GAUGAACGCUGGCGGCGUGCCUAAUACAUGCAAGUCGAGCGAAUGGAUUGAGAGCUUGCUCUUAUGAAGUUAGCGGCGGACGGGUGAGUAACACGUGAGUAACCUGCCCAUAAGACUGGGAUAACUCCGGGAAACCGGGGCUAAUACCGGAUAACAUUUUGAACCGAAUGGUUCGAAAUUGAAAGGCGGCUUCGGCUGUCACUUAUGGAUGGACCCGCGUCGCAUUAGCUAGGUGGUGAGGUAACGGCUCACCAAGGCAACGAUGCGUAGCCGACCUGAGAGGGUGAUCGGCCACACUGGGACUGAGACACGGCCCAGACUCCUACGGGAGGCAGCAGUAGGGAAUCUUCCGCAAUGGACGAAAGUCUGACGGAGCAACGCCGCGUGAGUGAUGAAGGCUUUCGGGUCGUAAAACUCUGUUGUUAGGGAAGAACAAGUGCUAGUUGAAUAAGCUGGCACCUUGACGGUACCUAACCAGAAAGCCACGGCUAACUACGUGCCAGCAGCCGCCGCUG